GGUGUAGGCGGCCUUUCAAGUCGGAUGUUAAAUCUCCUGGCCUAACUAGGAGGGUGCAUCCGAUACUGUUGGGCUGGAGUGCAGUAGAGGAAAGCGGAAUUCCCGGUGUAGUGGUGAAAUACGUAGAUAUCGGGAGGAACACCAGUGGCGAAGGCGGCUUUCUGGGCUGUUACUGACGCUGAGGCCCGAAGGCGUGGGGAGCAAACAGGAUUAGAUACCCUGGUAGUCCACGCAGUAAACGAUGGAUACUAGGUAUGGGGAGUAUCGACCCUCCCUGUGCCGAAGUUAACGCUUUAAGUAUCCCGCCUGGGGACUACGGUCGCAAGACUAAA
This 332-nucleotide ribosomal RNA is filed under the name uncultured bacterium. Its description in RNAcentral is "bacterial SSU rRNA". It matches the Rfam family "Bacterial small subunit ribosomal RNA", at positions 568 to 898 of the family's 1533-position model. The record is from RNAcentral.